RNAcentral lists this ribosomal RNA (700 nucleotides) under Klebsiella oxytoca. RNAcentral describes it as "bacterial SSU rRNA". It matches the Rfam family "Bacterial small subunit ribosomal RNA", at positions 33 to 713 of the family's 1533-position model. Lineage: Bacteria; Pseudomonadati; Pseudomonadota; Gammaproteobacteria; Enterobacterales; Enterobacteriaceae. The record is from RNAcentral.
GGGCUUGCGCAGCCUACACAUGCAGUCGAACGGUAGCACAGAGAGCUUGCUCUCGGGUGACGAGUGGCGGACGGGUGAGUAAUGUCUGGGAAACUGCCUGAUGGAGGGGGAUAACUACUGGAAACGGUAGCUAAUACCGCAUAACGUCGCAAGACCAAAGAGGGGGACCUUCGGGCCUCUUGCCAUCAGAUGUGCCCAGAUGGGAUUAGCUAGUAGGUGGGGUAACGGCUCACCUAGGCGACGAUCCCUAGCUGGUCUGAGAGGAUGACCAGCCACACUGGAACUGAGACACGGUCCAGACUCCUACGGGAGGCAGCAGUGGGGAAUAUUGCACAAUGGGCGCAAGCCUGAUGCAGCCAUGCCGCGUGUAUGAAGAAGGCCUUCGGGUUGUAAAGUACUUUCAGCGGGGAGGAAGGUGAUGAGGUUAAUAACCUUGUCGAUUGACGUUACCCGCAGAAGAAGCACCGGCUAACUCCGUGCCAGCAGCCGCGGUAAUACGGAGGGUGCAAGCGUUAAUCGGAAUUACUGGGCGUAAAGCGCACGCAGGCGGUCUGUCGAGUCCGAUGUGAAAUCUCUCGGGGUCUACCUGUGGAACUGCGUUUCCAAACUGGGGGGCGAUAAUCUUGUUUACAGCGGGGGUACAAUCUCCGUGUGGCACAGCCUCAGCGUCAGACAUUCUUUACGGAGUCGGGACUCCGAG